Gallus gallus (chicken) is the source of this 615-nucleotide long non-coding RNA. RefSeq lists it as uncharacterized. NCBI's taxonomy places the organism in Eukaryota, Metazoa, Chordata, Aves, Galliformes, Phasianidae. The record is from RefSeq and is a predicted model, not a curated record. The transcript has 3 exons.
GCAGGCUCAGCAUCGUCUUUGCGUCCUUCAUUCUCCUCCAGAAACGAGGAAACGCAGGAGGUCGUCCUGGUGCAACAAGCAUCCAGUACAUCAAAGAUUUGCUGCCAGUCUUUCCAAUUGAGCCCAGAGCUUUGCCUCCCUCAGCGAGAGAUGUCGUGCUGCAGACCCUGUGUCCCAUCCCCCUGCGGUGCCUCUGGCCCAACCCCACUGGCUAGCAGCUGCAGUGAGCCAUGUGUCGCCCGCUGCGCUGACUCCACUGUGGCCAUCCAGGCCUCCGCUGUGGUGGUGACCCUGCCGGGCCCCAUCCUCACCUCCUUCCCUCAGAACACAGCCGUGGGAUCCUCUCUGUCAGCUGCUGUUGGCAGCUCCCUCAGCACCGCGGGCGUUCCCAUCUCUUCUGGGGGCUCCCUUGGUCUGGGGGGCUCUGGGCUGUGUCUGCCUCGCCCACCCUGCAGUUUUAACUGCUGAAGCUGAUGGAUCAUCCCAUUUGGACAACACAUCCUGGAUACGGAUGGAUCGUGCUCUCAACCUCCCUGUAGACUGAAAGCAUGAUUCUUCCCCUCUGUACAGAGCCACUUUAGCUUUUCCUUCUCAUUAAAGACUUUGUGCAGCAUA